CACUGGAGUCUCUGGGCUGUGAGCUACAUACCAAAUGCAAACUGUUUGGAAGGACGGGCUCCUCUCUUCCCACCACCAGCUUACCAUGGUGUUUGCAAGCUCCCAGAAUGCAGCCCAGGCCCUGCAUCACCACUGCAACAUCUCCAAGUGGGACUUGGUUCAAAAUCCUGGCUCACAUACGUUGCCUUGUGUGCUCUCUCAUUUCAUUGCUCAACAUGAAAAGUAGCCCCAAAAGGGAAGCGGGAAUCCUGCAUCUGCAAGGAACGCAGCCUCCAAUUUCCUAAGUGUUUAAAGGUCACUGGGGACACUCCAGAUUUCCAAUUUUCCCUGUGAUCAAGACACAGAAAAUUCAGGGCUGAAACUAAUGGUCUGUGAGGCCGAAAUAAAAACGCUCUCCUUUCUACCACAUACUGAUCAACAUUCUCACUGAUCAUCUGGAAAUGCCUGGGUCAGCAAUCAAGCUCUCAGUGGGUUCAGAGCAACCAGCAGCUGGAUUGACAUUGCUUUCUAAACCAUGCAGAGAUAAGGUUCCCCCUGCCUCUAGCUGACAGGUAAAUUUAAGUGACUGCUUUUUACCAUGUAAAAUGCCUCCUCUCAGUUCAAGGUCAUUUUUCUUCAAUCCACAGUUAGAGGUAUAUGGCACAUUAAGUCCUGUAAUUCCCCUGUCAUGGUGGAGAAGGGGGGGAGCUUUUAAGCCUGU
This is a long non-coding RNA of Melospiza melodia melodia, 700 nucleotides long. RefSeq lists it as uncharacterized. The transcript has 3 exons. The record is from RefSeq and is a predicted model, not a curated record. NCBI's taxonomy places the organism in Eukaryota, Metazoa, Chordata, Aves, Passeriformes, Passerellidae.